RNAcentral lists this small RNA (1265 nucleotides) under Histoplasma capsulatum. RNAcentral describes it as "hypothetical RNA". Lineage: Eukaryota; Fungi; Ascomycota; Eurotiomycetes; Onygenales; Ajellomycetaceae. The record is from RNAcentral. RNAcentral also lists the same sequence under 1 other name.
AUUAAUAAAUAAAUGAAUGAUGGAUGAUAACCAUAGCUACGCAUGUGUGUGUGGAAUGAAUGCUGGAGGGAUGAUGGUAUGACAUGUAUGAUGUACAUGACAUGAUAUGUGAGGAAUUUUCUUUCCAUAUCUUGGAUAACAAACGUUUAUUCCAUUUCUCUCAGCCGACUUCCAACUUCUACUCCUCCCUCCCUUAUCUCCAUAUUCAUCCAUAAUCGAACAGAUCUCUUGAAAGUUUGCACCUAACAUACACCAAACACAUUCCACACACCACGGGGAUGUUGUACAUGUCCAACGCAAUUACGGGGCCAGAAUAACCGGAAAAGGGUAAGUAGACAAAUUAUUGAUCAAGCCAUAAGGAAAUAUGUGGGAAAAGCAGAAGAAGAAGAAGAAGAAGAAGAAGAAGAAUAAACACAACAUCAUUUCCUAUAUGCGUUUUUUGUUGUGUCUUGGUUGAGUCCUUUUUUCCUUCAAUUAUUUCUUCACAUUCAAAUAUCUCUCCCCCCUUCCCAUUCUUUCAUUCCCCAUCAAAUGCCCGUAACAGAAAGAUCAUAUACUGAGCACCCUAGUAAAACAGAACAAAGGAGAGGGUACUCAACAUAUACUUUAAAAAAGUAAAACAAAAAAAAUAUCAGAGUUAAAAACAUACUAUGGUAAUAAAGGCUAAAAGGCGAGAGAAACGUAAUAAACAAAAUAAACCAGAAAAAAAAGACUUUGCAAAACUGGCCUACAGAAAACAACAACAAAAAGGGAGGAAAAAGACAUAUGAGCGCCGUAUCAUAAAAGAAAUGGAAUAGAAACUAAAAGAGGAUAAAAAAACAAACCCAUGAAAAUGGAGGUCAGGUCUGUUGUAUCAACGAGGUCAUGGUGUAUGGCUAUUCGCAUUCAAAUCCAGCUCCCCCGGAUCGGGUAGGCCCUAGAGCAGGAAACAACACAAUUCAUCAACGGCCGGAAUCAAAGCUCAGAGCCAGAGUCAAGAAAAUGAGAUAAAAGGGAAACAAAAUUUAUACCGAGACGUUAAAACAUCAGCGUAGUGCCAUUUCAUAAAUAUGCAAGAGGGCGUUCGUCAACGAAGAACCGGAAAGUCGUGUUCAUAUUUUCGUUGUCCUCGUGAGGGGUUCUCAUGUUUCCGUUAGUAAAAUACAAUCGGAGUGGCAGUUCAGAAGGGUCGUCCCAACAUGUGCCGUGAGUAUAUUUCGUCUGUAAAGGGAGGGAAAACGCAUAUUGGUCUUCCCAUAGAUAAAGUAGAAGUUGGUGUUGUUGGG